Molecule: ribosomal RNA, 500 nt
Filed under: uncultured bacterium
Lineage: Bacteria
Description: partial 16S ribosomal RNA
Rfam family: Bacterial small subunit ribosomal RNA
Source: RNAcentral
AUUGAACGCUGGCGGAAUGCUUUACACAUGCAUGUCGAACGGCAGCACGGACUUCGGUCUGGUGGCGAGUGGCGAACGGGUGAGUAAUGUAUCGGAACGUGCCCAGUCGUGGGGGAUAACGUAGUGAAAAUUACGCUAAUACCGCAUACGAUCUAUGGAUGAAAGCGGGGGAUCGCAAGACCUCGCGCGAUUGGAGCGGCCGAUAUCAGAUUAGGUAGUUGGUGGGGUAAAGGCCCACCAAGCCAACGAUCUGUAGCUGGUCUGAGAGGACGACCAGCCACACUGGAACUGAGACACGGUCCAGACUCCUACGGGAGGCAGCAGUGGGGAAUUUUGGACAAUGGGCGAAAGCCUGAUCCAGCCAUUCCGCGUGCGGGAUGAAGGCCCUCGGGUUGUAAACUGCUUUUGUACAGAACGAAAAGGUUUCUACUAAUACUAGGAGCUCAUGACGGUACUGUAAGAAUAAGCACCGGCUAACUACGUGCCAGCAGCCGCAGUAA